This is a long non-coding RNA of Malaclemys terrapin pileata, 401 nucleotides long. RefSeq lists it as uncharacterized. NCBI's taxonomy places the organism in Eukaryota, Metazoa, Chordata, Testudines, Emydidae. The transcript has 3 exons. The record is from RefSeq and is a predicted model, not a curated record.
GCUGCCACUGACAGAAAAGAAAAACAGAAGAGUCAAGAAGAAAUGAAACCAAGGAAAACCUCCCCCAGACUUCAGCAUGGAUUGAUGGUUAGAACGUGUUCCUGGAAAGGAGACAGGGGCUAAACAUUGCCCAACACGUGCUCAAAGAAGGCAAAAAUGGUUUGUGAAUCAGAUCCAAGCAAUUUCCCAAGAUAUUUCAUCAUGAUCAAGGCAGACUUUUAUCAGACAAGACCAUUUAUAUUGGCAAUUUUUCAAAGGUUGCCAUUCUCAAAUCAGGUUAGUUACACUGACAACUCCUACUUUACUCUGGACAUUUAUUCAGAGAUUGCAAUCGUGUAGUAAAAAGCAAUAUGUUAAAUUUUAACUGACCUUUAAUAGACUUUUUUCAUUUCUUUCUGAUG